Long non-coding RNA from Strigops habroptila (Kakapo), 4150 nucleotides. RefSeq lists it as uncharacterized. The record is from RefSeq and is a predicted model, not a curated record. NCBI's taxonomy places the organism in Eukaryota, Metazoa, Chordata, Aves, Psittaciformes, Psittacidae. The transcript is spliced from 2 exons.
CCUGUCCGUGGCAGGGGGCUGGAACUGGAUGAUCUUAAGGUCCUUUCUAACCCAAACUAUUCUAUGACUCAAAUGACAGACAUAGCAACGGAGACCCUGUUGCAAAGAGUUCAUAGGAUAAAGGAUUUGGCAAGGGAGAACAAACAGAUCCUGACAGGGGAACCCUUAGGAAAACAAUCACACAGAAUGAACAAAGUCAUUAUGUGCUGUCCUCGGAACAGAACCUCCCAUCAGGAAGGAAGCACAGAAGCAAGUUCCUGACUCCUGACUGCAAGGUACUGCAGCUGCUUCCAGAGAUUAGGCAUGUCGCUGGAGUUCUGCCCUGCUCUGGGUGCAUACCAAUGUUUGGGAAGUUGCUGAGAUUCGCUGUGUUAGGGGCAGGAGGAUUUCACAUUCCAAGCUCAGUUUCAGGCAGCUAUUUUUAGGUAAAUUAUUCCGGCUGACAAGCUGCAAAGAUAAAAGAUGCUGCAGGCCCCACCUUGGCUGCUGUAAACUUAGUCUGCCUCUGUCUAUCUGCAUUCCUCUGCUACUGCAGAGGGAAGAUCUCAGCAGGCAGCUCGCUCCCCGGGUUGGGAAAUUAAUGAAGACGGUUCUGCUCUUUUUAGCACUUUCUUACUCAUCUCCCCGAUGAGCUUCCAGAACUGUCAAACCCCCUGAAGAUCACCCUCCUCUCAGUGAGCCUCCUUUACAUCACACUCAGCUUCCAGACAGUGGUUUAUUGCUGUGGGCUGCAUUCAAACUCUUGCCUGGGUAUUAAGGGUUGGUAGCAAACGUUUUGGCCCACAUUAGCAACUGAUUUAGAGCAAAGCUGGCAGUGCUGAAUGGAACACCUCUCACUGUGUGGUACCUGCCCAUGGCAAUGCGGAGCCUGCAGCAGCGGCCGCUCACACCGUGCUCUAAGGCACUAAUGGUUCUUGCACUUCAAGACAGUCUGAUUUCAACCCUACUCUGGGUUGGCAAAUGUCUCUCAACCCCCCUUCCCCUCCCCUAUUUAGUCAUUCUCUAACAGCAGGAUUUGACAGGUUGUAUGACAAGAUGCUAAAAAAGAGGUCACCUUGUUCACAGCUCCCAAAUGUGGUUAUCAUCAAGUUAACCCACACAAACAGGGGUUCUUGUUUUUAAACAGGCAGAGGCCAUUAACAGUGCAGCCUAUAUGGUUAAAUCAUGUUUUGAACGAACAUUUCUUAAGUAGCAGUUCCUGUUUAUGUACCAUUAACUCUAGAAUCACAUUUCUGUGAUCUUCUUUAUAGAUUUCCAUAACCACUCACCUUUGUUCCUUGGCCCACAAAGCUAGAAAGUUGUUAUAAAUGGUUAGAAAUCAUGUUCCUAUCUAGACAUUUUCUUUUUCUUCUUAAAAGAGUUUCUACUUCCUGCCUAAAGAACUGAGAAAGGCACAAGGAGUUUAAUUAUAGCACUGACCCUGCUUCUCCCGAGCUUGUGAUUGAGCAUCACUAAGAUCUCAAACAUACCAGCAUGUGUAACCAUAACCUAGUGCCAGGGCACCAGAUAAAGACUUUGAAUUGCCCCUACUUGUCAGUUUAGGAUACAAGCAUUUUACCAGAACAUAACUCCGCUGGUAUUCCAUUGAAGUGAUUUGCCAUGACCAUUUCUAAUUCCAGAGUUACCAAAAUCAACAGAAUUAUACUCCAGUCUAAUCACACAGCACAUUAAUUCUGGAAGUCAAAGCCAGUUUGAAUCGCUGGAGGACAUACAACUGUUCUCAAUUGGUAUUUUACUUUUAAAACCCAUAUUGUAUCCUAAAAAUGAGAGCUGUUUCUGACAACUGGUAAUAAAUCAAAGCUGACUCCAACAGUAUCACUGUUAGAUAACAAUUCAACCCAAGUGUGUUUUAAUGUAAAAAUCAACUCUGCUAAAUUCAGGGUACACAGAAAAUAAGAAACAAAACCCAAGACACCUCAAACCACAAUCAUUUAAGUAUGGGAAAAGCAGGACACACUGGGGUGGCGCUCAGCACCUCUGACCUGUGCUACUGGACAGUGCCAAAGCUCCCUUUAAUGAACAGCUUUAAAAGAACCAAAGUUAAAGUUAGCUGUGAGUGACUGAACACAGCUUUCUGGCCCAGAAUGGUUAUUUAAGUCUUAACUCCAGCCCUGACUAUGGGAAAGCAAUACACAUAGGACGCAGAUCUACUGAGAUUCUGAUGACUCUUACCUGUACCGCUGCUGAUGCACUCUCUGCGACUCACAAGUGAUUAAAGCAGUGACAACCUUUCUCAUGGGUCACCCUGUUUCUCUCUCCUUCAUGCUUGGAUAACCUGAAAACUGUUGUGAGAUCAAAUGAACCAAACAGCCAGGAGCGCCCCUGUACAAUUAACUUCUACCUGUAUCUUGACACGUUUGAUCUGAAAAUUCAGGUGCCUGAAUAAAACAAGGAAAAACAAAUCAGCUCAAAGGAUGAUGCAGCAUCACCCUCACCGUACAUCAACUUACAUUUCAUCCUGGUGAGGACUGGAGAUGGGAAAAGCGCUUCAAAACUUGAUUUUACUCAUUCUCAAGCUCCUUUUCACUUAUUUCCCGUGGCAGACACACACAGUUUGCUCACUUGAAGAGAUAUUUGUGAUGAAGACAACAGGCAGCCUGCCCUUGAACCGCCAAAGGAGGCUGAGCCAACGGGCACCGCCACAGCAUCUAUCACAGGGACUGUGGGCAGUGAUUGCGCUUGCGGAACGUUGCUUCCAUCUAGUGAUGUGUGAGCCAUCAGCUUGCAGGAGCUCACAGUGGGACAAAACCCCACAGCUCCCAGCGGAUCCAAUUCUGCCUUGAAGCUGCAGGAAGGUGUAAAUAAAGAUUAACAUGGAUUGAGAUCUCGUGAUCCACCUCGCUUCCAGAUCAAAAGGGAAUGAUCAUAUUCCCAGGCCCGAGCAGCAGAGUUCACUGCUCAAAUGGCAAUAAAAGACAAAAAAUCCACAUGCACAACUGACAUCCAAAAUGGCUCAACAUAAUUUAUUUUUUAUGUUAAAAUGUACAGAGUUCUUUUGAAAGUACUUGCUAGAAAGGGGAAAAAAAAGUGAUAUUACAUACAAGGAGAGGAAGGGAGACCAUCCAGCCAGGAGCGUAUGACAUGGAGAAUUACAAAGGCAUCUAGGCACCCCUUCCCCUUAGCUUACAAGUCACCAUGAACAAAGUACAAAGAGGUUACAAAACAGGAAAAGCAAAUAUAAACAGACAGGAAUAGACUCAGCUUCAUUUGUACAUGCGGCUUUUAGAGGCAUCUGGAGCUCCUAUUCACACACUCUAGAGAUCUCUUUAAAGAGAAUUUUUUUAUCUUUCUUAAAAUAGUUUUUAAUAUUCUACAACAAAGAUAAAAAACUUUAAAGAUGGAAUGAAAUGAAAAAGCUCUUAUUCUUUUAAAAGGCAUCGAAGUCACUAACAGUGAGAUUUUUAAUUUCUUUUAGAAGAUUACCCAAGUUAUCUUGCUAAAAAUACAUAUUUUUUUUUUUAUUUUUUUUUUUUAAACAGAAGUGAAAAAAUGGUAGGUACCAAUAUUACUGCGUUGGAUAAUUUCUUUUUUUCUUUUUUUAUAUAUAGAAAAGAACAUUUUUUUUUUUUUUUUUCUCUCUACAAUAGUUCUACAGUCACAAAGGCUUGUGGAAAAAGGGAGCUGCCCAAUUGGUAAAAAAAACAUACAAAAACCAAACCAACCAAACUAAAUCCACCGCCCUCGUUCCAACAGCUUAUCCUCCUCCUGUCUCACACCCACCCCCCCCCACCCCCCCCAACCACCAGGAAGCAGUGACCCAGCUGAAGAUCUAGGAAGGAGAGGGCAGCACAGUGCGCUUUCUACAUGGGUUAUUUGGGACUGGAAUAGUAUAUACAGAGAAAUGGGGUCCUACACAGCCUUGUACAUGCUCAAAACUAAACAGAAGUAAAAAGUGGAAGUCCUUUGAAUUCUGCCUUUUAUGGUUAAGCAGUUACUGGAGGAAAGUCCGGUUUAGUGCAUCUGAAGAAAACCCCAACUUUCUGUUUAGACUCUUUUGGUUUAAAAACAAAAGAAAUUAGUCUUAUUAAUGUGUCUGUAUUUCUACUUCAUAUACAAUAAAAAAGAACUUUACAUUAAGGGGUGUCCCUUUUUGUAUUGGGUGACAUGCCAGCAGUGUAGCCAAAACGAAUGUCAAUUGGAUUAUGCGGUA